AGUGAACGCUGGCGGUAGGCCUAACACAUGCAAGUCGAACGGCAGCACAGUAAGAGCUUGCUCUUACGGGUGGCGAGUGGCGGACGGGUGAGGAAUACAUCGGAAUCUACUUUUUCGUGGGGAAUAACGUAGGGAAACUUACGCUAAUACCGCAUACGACCUACGGGUGAAAGCAGGGGAUCUUCGGACCUUGCGCGAUUGAAUGAGCCGAUGUCGGAUUAGCUAGUUGGCGGGGUAAAGGCCCACCAAGGCGACGAUUCGUAGCUGGUCUGAGAGGAUGAUCAGCCACACUGGAACUGAGACACGGUCCAGACUCCUACGGGAGGCAGCAGUGGGGAAUAUUGGACAAUGGGCGCAAGCCUGAUCCAGCCAUACCGCGUGGGUGAAGAAGGCCUUCGGGUUGUAAAGCCCUUUUGUUGGGAAAGAACAGCAGCAGGUUAAUACCCCGCUGUUCUGACGGUACCCAAAGAAUAAGCACCGGCUAACUUCGUG
Molecule: ribosomal RNA, 492 nt
Filed under: uncultured bacterium
Lineage: Bacteria
Description: partial 16S ribosomal RNA
Rfam family: Bacterial small subunit ribosomal RNA
Source: RNAcentral